Molecule: long non-coding RNA, 3699 nt
Organism: Syngnathoides biaculeatus (alligator pipefish)
Lineage: Eukaryota; Metazoa; Chordata; Actinopteri; Syngnathiformes; Syngnathidae
Exons: 3
Source: RefSeq, a predicted model, not a curated record
AUAACAAACGGGGUGUAUGAGAGCGACUAGAGGUAUGACCAUUCUACGUCAAAUAUAUAUGUACAAUACAUAAGCAGAAGGAAACCAUCAACUCCAUAAUGUCAGCCAGAUGCGUGAAAAUUAUUUUGAAGUUAUGGACUUCCGUCCAUGAGAACAUGGUGCUGACGUGGGUGUUGGGAAAAAGAGCGAGUAGGAGACACAGUAACUGAAGGUAUAAUUUGUGAGAAAGCACGAGCCACCUACUCUGAUUUGGUGCAGCAGAACCAAGGCACAUUGGCGGACAUCCUUGAAGCAAUCCAGUGAACCUUUCAAAGUCAGCCAAGGAUGGUUUGAAAAUGUUCAAAAAAGGACCGGGUUAGGGUUAACCCUAACCCUAACCCUAACCCUCCUAAAAAAUCUCUUACAUCCCCUACAAAAUCAAACCGCUUUCGUAUAUCAUUCAGAAAAUCCCAGAACUUUUAAAAAAACCAUUUCCAAAUAAAGAAUGCAGGUUAUGUGGCGGGCGAACCCAAGGGCGUGGGUCAAUUGGCAGAUUUUUGUGGUGUGGGUAAACCUGGUCUUUGGUCAUCCCAUCAAGAAAUAUCUUUCCGAGAAAAACCUGCCUCUACAAGCCCUUGUUCUCUUUGACAAUGGCCAGCUCACCCUCCGAACCUCAAAGAAGAUAUCUUGGAGAAUUUAAAUUAAUUAAGGCCCGAUAUCUACCACCCAACACCACCCCUUAUCCUCCAGCCGAUGGACCAACAGGUCAGAUCUAACUUCAAAAAGUUGUUCACCAAGCACCUGUUCCAACACUGCUUUGAGGUGACUGAAAACACUAACCUCACCCUUCGUGAGUUCUGGAAUGACCACUAUAAUAUUGUGACAUGCCCCAGAGACCUAUUGAUCUGGCGUGGCUGACUGUUUCAGCACACACUUUGACCUGUGCGUAAAUGACCAACGCCCCACCCCAGUCUGUCUGGUGGCCGUCCAGGGCACCCAAAGCGAGGACUUUGGCUGAGCAGUUCAGGAGGUCGGCGAGGACGCCAAGCACUGGGUCCUUACGGGGCGACUCAGGGGGUCGGCGAGGACGCCAAGCACUGGGUCCUUACGGGGCGACUCAGUCGGAUGUCUGCGAGGAGGGUUCCAACAGCAAAACAGGAACCAAAUAGGACCAGGUGACAGCUAUGGAUGAAGCACAGCUGAGACGUGGUGGAGAGGCGGCGGCUGCUGAUGCUGGUACUGGUCAAGCACCACCGAGGCGUGGUCGAGAGGCAGAGACUGCUUCUGCUGGUUGAACAAAGGCGAGACGUGGUCGAGAGUCGGCGGCUGCUGCUGGUCGUACAAUGCGGAGGUGUGGUUGAGACGUGGCUGUCGCUGUUGCUGGUAGAGCACCGUCUGACGUGGUCGAGAGGUGGCGGUUGCUGCUGGUCGAGGAUCGCCGAGGCAUGGUUGAGAGACUGCGGCUGGUCAAGUACCGCCGAGGCAUGGUCGAGAGGCAGCAGCUGCAGCUGGUCGAGCACUGCUGAAAGAUGGUCGAGAGGCGGCGGCAGUUGCUGCUGUUGGUCAAGCAGCGCCCAGAGGUGUUCGAGAGGUGGCGGCUGCUGCACUCACAACAUCCCGAGUUGAGGUGAGCAGUACCCUAUCCUCAUAUACAUAGUGUUAAAAGUGCACUGAUUACUCCUCCGGCUGGUGGACCAAAAUGUCCUCUAAGCCGUCCAGAAAUCUUUCCCCAUGGCCUCACUGAACUCCCUCCAUGCCGGACUUUUUGUUUCAGCGACAACAAAAGCUGCAUUCCGCUUGGCUAGCCAGCACCAAUGAUCUAGCUGCCUUCAGAGUCCUACAGGCCAAAAGGGCCCGAUAGGAUUUCUUCUCCAGUUUGACGGCAUUCCUCAUCCAUGGUGUCCAUCGGACAUUCUAGCAAAGCCUCACAAUACAUUUUGGGCUGCAGGUUGGACUGCCAACUUCACCCGCCAUCGGAUCCAACUCAACACCAGAAAAACACAAAGAAGAUCAAUAAGUAGGCGAUUGACCUGAGAUUUGUUGAUGACAUGACUGGCCUCCAGUUGAAGAGAAAAUUUCACCCCGAGUUCUGAGGAGAAGGACGCCAUCGGUGACAAUGUCCCGGAUCAUUCCAAAGGCUACAUCCUCAACCCUUCGGCUCCCAGAAGAUGAUGCUCUGUGGGAAAUUCUAGCAACAGAGGUGUUCAAGAGGAGAGCAUUCAUAAAAUGAAGCAAGAUCAUGGAAGUAACAGGUCAUUUUUUUCCUGGUGAUAGAUACUGAUUUUAAAAUUAUUUUCUCAUCUAUAUUUUACAAUCAAAUGCAUAUAUGAUUAUACUUUUACCAAUACAUUUUAGACCAGUUGUGUCAAACCCUCAGCCCAUUUUGGCCCACGGGGUGAAUUUUAAAUUGGAAAAAAUACAGAAGACAUUCUGGUGGUGGGGACUAAAGUGCCACUGACAUCUGAAACAUGAAAUUUACAAAUUCAUCCAUUUGCUCACAGCACGUCAGAAUGUUGCUGUAUAUCAGGUUUUUCAUCUCCCGCCAUGAAAAUUCACUGUUUUGAGUUGAAUAAGCAUAAGUGAAGUUUUUUGCAGACACCGACAGCAGUGGGGGCGUGUGUCUUUAUCUGAUGUACUGUCAAGAAAUGACCUGUUUUUUCCUGUGUGUUAUCAAAAAUUCCAGCAACACAACAACAAAAGAUGACAAAGUUCGUGAUACACUCCCUAAACACUAUGCAGAAUUACUGGGUUAAGUACCAUUUUAAAGCAACGGUAUACUCCAAAGAACAAGACCUGUAGCCUAAUUACACAAGAAUCUCUGGGGGAAGAGUCGGUCCUCAUGCUAACCCCAGACCUUGUGCGAUGAUUUGUGGAGGAAUAAUUGUGAUCAUAAUUAUCAUACAUCUGCUUCCAAUAAAGAAAUUCUUUGCUCUGCUCUAGAUAACGCGGCAGCCUCCUAGGAGGAGAUAGCAAGAACAAAUACAUCUAAUCAUCAGAACUGUUAGAACUGCUGCCUGUUAAAGAAAUGAUGAGCACACACGUACUCAGCAAUCUUCCACACAUGCACAUGCAUAUGAACAAACAUGUACACCUUGUUUCAAACUGUUUUGCUUGUCGUCUCCUUUUUGUAACAUCCAUGUAAAUAAGGGGCGUCUUAAAACUAAAUAAAUUGAAGUGCUCAGGAGAGGAUAAUCAGAGAAUGCAGUGGUGAAUUGUACGAGACAGUUCCUCUCCUCUCCUCUCCUCUCGCGAGACUUGAACUGGUGUCUUUGCUUCCUUUUUUGUCCUGUUUAAUGAAUGUCUGAUUGGUGAACCUGACAUUUACUUGGUCCUUCGAGCCGGAUCUCAAGAUACCUGAGGUUUCCAGGGGCCGAGUCGGGGUCCAGGCAAAGACCGUGGCCACGGCACUUGAGACCCUUUCCCGGACUGGGCCUCGACUUUGCGCCUGGAGGCUGAGGGUUGACGAGAAGCCGAAGGAAGUGAAGGCAUCUCUGGUGAGUAGGAAACUCCCACACUCAUGAGGAAUGAGUGAAUGCGCGUCUGGGUGACUGCAGCAGAACCAAACCUUGAGAAUACUAGUCACUAUCGAGUAGACUAAUUAGUCUAUAAAACUGAGAAAAGGGCAAGGUGUGUCCUGUACGUGAGGUCCGUGAUAUGUGUGCAUGUGUAAAAGUGUGAGUGGAGGUUGGCUACCUCAUUUGAACAGGAAAUUGAGUGACA